Long non-coding RNA from Mauremys reevesii (Reeves's turtle), 878 nucleotides. RefSeq lists it as uncharacterized. The record is from RefSeq and is a predicted model, not a curated record. NCBI's taxonomy places the organism in Eukaryota, Metazoa, Chordata, Testudines, Geoemydidae. The transcript has 2 exons.
UUCAGUGGCAUGGCCCUGUCACAGAUGGCUCCUACAUCACCCCCAUCUCAUCAUCUCAGAGCAGGGGCCAGAGUGCUGCACCUGUGAUCCAUUGAUUCUCAGCAGGGGCCAUUGCUACCUGGGAUAGUCUGAGAGCUGCUUUGAACUCCUUUGAGGCUAGAUUUGGUUUAGUACCUUUCUGAGAAUCAGAGAGCCACAGCCCACUCUCUUGUGCCCAGCAGAGACUGGGUGCAGUCAAGAAUCUGGCUCACAGUCUGGUUGUGUGGCUGGAAUAAGUCCAUGGGAGUUUUGAACUGGAUUUUGAAGUGAAUGGGAGCCAGAGAAGGCAUUUGUGCAGGUUGUGGGGAGAUUAAAGGGCUUGUCUAGAAAAACAGUUAGUGUGUGACAAGCUAGGGGGUAAAUCUACGACACAGUAGUAUGCCACACACUAACUGGCUGGGUGGACCCUGCUCCAAAAGUUCCCCAGUGUGCUUUGAUUGAUUCCUUUUUGAAAUGAGAAUAAGUCAAUGCUUCAGUGCAUAUGGGAGAAAAUGGGCAGCAGCAAUCUGCAUAUUCCAGGAUCUGGAAAUCUGGGGAGACCCUCUUCACCAUUUGGCUGAGAUCUAUUCUAGGAUCUGCUCACAGGUGUGUGCAUCUGUGAGCAGAAGCAGCAGGAGGCAGAGAAGGCAUCAGGAAAGCUAAGGAGACAGCAAGAGGAGCUCUUCCAACAAGACAAAGCCAAGAAGGAGAGCUUUUUGGGCAGAGUGCCGGCUGGACAGUGGUUUGGAACUGUGAGCAAGGAAACUGCCUCCUGCUGUUUAAUUCCUACUCUGUUCUGGGAAACAGAACUCUGUGUACAUACCUCGUAAAUAAACAGGAAUGAAUACCUGACUCCAUAA